CUCCCUCUCUCCCCUCCUCCUUCCCUCCCUUCCUCCUUUCCUCCCAGUGGCCAUUCAGAUGACCUGGGUGAGAACAGAGCUUCUCAGGAAGCCUGAAGUUCUGAGUCCAGAGCUUAGGAAGGCUCUGAGGAAGCCUCUGUGCCUUAAUGUCCCCAAAGUCAGCAGGCUCAUACCCAGCUCAAAGCCAGCAAGUCCACUCUCAGAUUAGUGGGUUCUAGAUUCUUCUUCAGGGAGAAAAGAGAGUGGAGUUGAAACACCCUUAAUACCCUAAUUCUCUCAAAAGAUGAUUCAGACUUUUGUAGCUUCAUUAGCAUUUGCAGAUAAAAAUACAUUUUAAGUGGCAUUAUGCUAAGUAAUUAUUCUUACAAGAUGUGGAAUUAAAUACAUUUCCCUCAGCAUGAAAUUAUUCCUGCCACGUACUGAGUUGGGUGACAGCUUAAAAAGAAUUUGGACAGGGGGUUGCCACGAAAGGAAGAAGCAAUCUAUAUUCUUGAGGCGGUGGGGGGAAACCAACCCAAAAUAUCCACCAAAGGUAAAGUCCUUGUAGCAAAAUCAUUUUGGCUAGAUGGAAUAUUAAACCUGCUACUAUAAAUUUCACGCUUUGCAUUCCUAAAGCAGACGCAGAGAAAUGAUGCCAAAAAUUAAUCAGAAAUAAUGCCCGCCUUGCACGCUUUUUCCAGUAGGGGGCAGAACAGAUAAGACUGUGUGCGCUGGAGACCUCCCUAGACUGAUAAUCAGGCUUGUUUGUAAUUGCCUCUGUAAAGAUAUGUAGCCGCAUGCUUGAAUGCUUAUUUACAUUUUGGGAUGUGGUUGGGAAUAGAGGCUUUCGAUUUAGAACUUUGUUUCUGUCUCUAAGUACAUGGGAGACUUUCAGCUGUCGCGAACCUUGUAUUUACCAAUGCAUGGUGUUCAAUUGCUGGAUUUAAUUGUUACAGUACAGUGAAUUAUUCUAUUAUUUCUAACUAUUUUUUAUCUGGAAAAUUCAAACUUUCCAGGCUUUAGGGCAGGAUAAAAUGGCUCUGAGCAUGUCAGCGUCUCAAGAGUACAUUAUUUUCUUAUUGGAUUGCAUUAACUUUACAGAUGAAAAUUUGAAGGAGAAUUAGAAGGCUUAGAGAUGGAAAAUUCGGAGAAGAAAAGAAUUAUGUCUUCAGAUUUCUGGAGGGGCUAGCUGAAAUCCACCUGGCUUUCUCUUGACUUGGGAAAAUGAUGUUCCAGGGUUCAGUAUGUCAUCAGCAACCUUCAGGACCCUGUAUGGAUCCAGGGCUCUCCCAAAGGAAGAAACAGGGAACAUUCAGACUCGGCAGCUGAUGGGACACCACGAGGCUCCUCCUCUGGCUCUUCCUGGUUCAGCUUCACCUCAGGAACAUUUCAGGAGGGCCAUCUCCCGCUGCGCUGCGCUUUUUGAAAAGCCCUUGUAAGAAGCAACAGUCCCACUGCCUACUCUUUUCUCCCUCCUUUCCCUGUUCCUCCAGGUAGGCGCACUAAGAACGAUUUCCUUUGUGGGAAAUGAAGCAGACCCCGGCCGCAGAGGAUCCGUUGUCAUUUCUGAGGUGCAUUUAACUUAAAUAGCCAGGAGAUCUGGAGCCCCCAAAACAGGUCCCUGCAGUGUGGGUGUUCAGACACACGUGUUCCCUUCCUGUGACUGAGGAAGAAGAUGGGUGGAGCAAUGCCCUCUGCUGGAGCGAUGCCUCAUACUGCGUGGACAGAUGUGUGUGGGUGACCUAGCUGCCUGCCUUUUGUUCUCCGGUCUCUCACCCUGUUAUUUCUUCAACUCCCAACCACCGCACAGUUUUUUGUACUCAUGCGGCAUUCUUAACCUCUGACUUGAGUUUUGAGUGGUGUGGAAAACAAAGGAAGAAGUGGGAGGUGGUGAUGGUCUGUGACAUCACGGCCUCAUUCUGAUCUCACAAUCUCAUAGUUACAGGACAUUUCCUCUACCCUCC
This 1943-nucleotide long non-coding RNA is filed under the name Mus musculus (house mouse). RNAcentral's name for it is "predicted gene, 49519". The record is from RNAcentral. Lineage: Eukaryota; Metazoa; Chordata; Mammalia; Rodentia; Muridae.